Lolium perenne is the source of this 978-nucleotide long non-coding RNA. RefSeq lists it as uncharacterized. The record is from RefSeq and is a predicted model, not a curated record. NCBI's taxonomy places the organism in Eukaryota, Viridiplantae, Streptophyta, Magnoliopsida, Poales, Poaceae.
GCGAAUAGAUAAGACGUGAUUUAUAACUUCCUUUAAUCACAAUCCUUCUCCUCAGCUAGUAAUACGCACCGUCCGCAAAAGGCACCCGCCCCUACAAUUCCGUGUGAGCAUCUCCAUCUCGAUCUAUCUUUAUGGCUGCCUCCGACUCCGCGUUCGGCCGACCGUGCUUCGUUCUCGUAUGGGACUCAGAUUCCGAGGAUUGGGCAAUGAUUUGCGGCGGCGAGACGAACACCAUUGACGAGUCAGUAGGUGCAGCGGUACUGGAGGUCCGGCAAUCCAAUUCGCAACUGACGUCUUUCAAUUUCUCACUUACCCGAUCCAAUUUUUGCAAUCUUUUUUUCAAGAUCUAAAUACAGUAUUUUUUAUGCAGUCUUUCGUUGGCUUGAUCUGUUACUCAUUAUCCUAGGUCAUGUGCUUGGUGGAUCGGUGAUGCUCCGCCUGCCCGUUCCUGCCUCUCAUUCACGGACGCUCGCUCGCGGGUACCCUGCGCCAAAUUUCCUGUCCUGAUUCAGCUUCGCUUCUCUUAAUCAGAAGGGAGACCACUUAGAUUAAAAUUCUUUGACUGCAUCGAUCAUGCAUUAUGUAUCUGUAUUUGUCAGUUCCAGAACAGAGUCUAAUCUUCAGUCUUUGUGCAGUCCAACUAUGAGAAGUAUGAAGCCAUGGUUUUACAGAAGAAGGGUACAUAAUGUAAUCAGAGUAUGUGGUGUAGCGUGGUGAAAUCCUUGGUCCUGAGAUUACCAAUACAAGUGGAUGAUGCAAGUAUGAGAAUAGUGCUACUACAUAGUUUGAAAUUAGUGUUUAGAAUUUCAUUUUCACAUAUAGAGAUAUUGUAUUCAUUGGAUCGUCUUCUUUGUAAAGCUACAACGUUAAUUUAAUAUAUGAGGUCUUUCUGUUUAUAAUAUUGUGGCUCAUGUGCACUCUCCGCUGAACAAUAAAUCAAUAUAUGAUCCACCAUUAACGAUUUGAGGUGUCUAGUAA